CCUACGGGAGGCAGCAGUGAGGAAUAUUGGUCAAUGGACGAGAGUCUGAACCAGCCAAGUAGCGUGAAGGAUGACUGCCCUAUGGGUUGUAAACUUCUUUUAUAAAGGAAUAAAACGAGGCACGUGUGCCUUUUUGCAUGUACUUUAUGAAUAAGGAUCGGCUAACUCCGUGCCAGCAGCCGCGGUAAUACGGAGGAUCCGAGCGUUAACCGGAUUUUUUGGGUUUAAAGGGAGCGUAGAUGGGUUGUUAAGUCAGUUGUGAAAGUUUGCGGCUCAACCGUAAAAUUGCACUUGAUACUGGCAGUCUUGAGUACAGGUGAGGUAGGCGGAAUUCGUGGUGUAGCGGUGAAAUGCUUAGAUAUCACGAAGAACCCCGAUUGCGAAGGCAGCUUACUAAACUGUGACUGACAUUGAUGCUCGAAAGUGUGGGUAUCAAACAGGAUUAGAUACCCUUGUAGUC
RNAcentral lists this ribosomal RNA (460 nucleotides) under uncultured bacterium. RNAcentral describes it as "partial 16S ribosomal RNA". It matches the Rfam family "Bacterial small subunit ribosomal RNA", at positions 338 to 795 of the family's 1533-position model. The record is from RNAcentral.